RNAcentral lists this long non-coding RNA (645 nucleotides) under Phasianus colchicus (ring-necked pheasant). RNAcentral describes it as "lncRNA (ENSPCLG00000007325.1)". Lineage: Eukaryota; Metazoa; Chordata; Aves; Galliformes; Phasianidae. The record is from RNAcentral.
UCCAGAAUUUCUAAGAGGAAGAAAUGUAAGGAGAGGAGAACAAAGAAAAGUCAAAGGAAAAUGAUUUCAAGAAGCAUAAUAUGAACAUCAAAGAAGUGAUUGCAACACGACUAAAGAAUAAGUUGUACCAUGGACAUGGUUCAAAUUUUAGUGGCUUUGCUUUUGAAAAUGUGGCACUGGAUUCUGUCAGCUGUUGUGGUACCUGGGAGAUACUUGCAGAUGUCCCACAACCUGUGGUGAGACAGAAAAUGGCCUUUUGUGACAUCUUUCCUGGAAAAAGUCUUCACUUACGAAUGGUAAAUACAACAAACUUCUACAUGGAAGAAUUUAUUGAACUCAUCUUUCAGUGGAAUGGAAAACAAUUUUUCUUAAGCAUUACUGGAGGCCAUCAAACAGCGAGAAGGAAUAAUUUGUCUGCUGCUGCAUGAUCAGUGGAAUUUAAAGCUGCUGCUCUGUGAUACGUGAUAUAAAAAGACUGAAGAUUUUAACAGUGGUCCUCCUACCUUUUGCAAGCAAAGCAGCUGUCUUCUGGUUAUGUAGAUAAGGCACUAUAGAAGACAAUUAGCUUUGAAUUUCAAGAGUGAGUUGUUUUUCAAUCUUCAAUCUUCAAAUAAAAUAAAAUUAUUAAAAAUCUACUCUAGAAGU